GAUGAACGCUGGCUACAGGCUUAACACAUGCAAGUCGAGGGGAAACGGCAUUGAGUGCUUGCACUGAAUGGACGUCGACCGGCGCACGGGUGAGUAACGCGUAUCCAACCUUCCCGUUACUGCGGGAUAACCUGUCGAAAGGCAGACUAAUACCGCAUGUUCUUCGAUGACGGCAUCAGAUUCGAAGCAAAGAUCCGUCGGUAACGGAGGGGGAUGCGUCUGAUUAGCUAGUUGGCGGGGCGACGGCCCACCAAGGCGACGAUCAGUAGGGGUUCUGAGAGGAAGGUCCCCCACAUUGGAACUGAGACACGGUCCAAACUCCUACGGGAGGCAGCAGUGAGGAAUAUUGGUCAAUGGGCGGAAGCCUGAACCAGCCAAGUAGCGUGCAGGAUGACGGCCCUACGGGUUGUAAACUGCUUUUAUGCGGGGAUAAAGUGAGGGACGCGUCCCUUUUUGCAGGUACCGCAUGAAUAAGGACCGGCUAAUUCCGUG
This 492-nucleotide ribosomal RNA is filed under the name uncultured bacterium. RNAcentral describes it as "partial 16S ribosomal RNA". It matches the Rfam family "Bacterial small subunit ribosomal RNA", at positions 28 to 507 of the family's 1533-position model. The record is from RNAcentral.